CCUAGAGGCAUUGCAGGUGUGGCUGCUGUGUCACAUGUGUGUCCUGAGAGGAGAGGCUCAGUUCUGACCUAAGAACAUCUGAAUGAUAGCAGC
This 93-nucleotide small nucleolar RNA is filed under the name Mus musculus (house mouse). Its description in RNAcentral is "Small nucleolar RNA SNORA17". It matches the Rfam family "Small nucleolar RNA SNORA17". Rfam says of the family: snoRNA ACA 17 belongs to the H/ACA family of snoRNAs and is predicted to guide pseudouridylation of the 28S rRNA at positions U4659 and U4598. It shares the same host gene together with ACA43. Lineage: Eukaryota; Metazoa; Chordata; Mammalia; Rodentia; Muridae. The record is from Rfam by way of RNAcentral. RNAcentral also lists the same sequence under 1 other name.